Molecule: ribosomal RNA, 2145 nt
Filed under: Chauliodoniscus sp. 2 MR-2008
Lineage: Eukaryota; Metazoa; Arthropoda; Malacostraca; Isopoda; Haploniscidae
Description: SSU rRNA
Rfam family: Eukaryotic small subunit ribosomal RNA
Source: RNAcentral
UGGUUGAUCCUGCCAGUAGUCAUAUGCUUGUCUCAAAGAUUAAGCCAUGCAUGUCUGAGUACAGACCGAUCUAAGGUGAAACCGCGAAUGGCUCAUUAAAUCAGUCAUAAUUUCUUGGAUAGUGAAAAACUUCCUCGGAUAACUGUGGAAAAUCCAGAGCUAAUACGUGCAACUGAGCUCCGACACCGGCGAAAGCCGAGGGAAGAGCGCAUUUAUUAGAUUCAAAACUGACCGUCGUACUCCUCCGGGAUGCGUCGUUUGUCAUAUUGAUGACUCCGGAUAACUAAGCCGAGCGCUACGGUCUUUGUACCGGCGCCGUAUCUUUCAAGUGUCUGCCUUAUCAGCUUUCGAUUGUAGGUUAAACGCCUACAAUGGCUGUAACGGGUAACGGGGAAUCAGGGUUCGAUUCCGGAGAGGGAGCCUGAGAAACGGCUACCACAUCUAAGGAAGGCAGCAGGCACGCAAAUUACCCACUCCCAGCUCGGGGAGGUAGUGACGAAAAAUAACGAUGCGAGACUCUUCCGAGGCCUCGCAAUCGGAAUGAGUCCAUUCUAAAUCCUUGGACGAGGAUCCAUUGGAGGGCAAGUCUGGUGCCAGCAGCCGCGGUAAUUCCAGCUCCAAUAGCGUAUAUUAAAGUUGCUGCGGUUAAAAAGCUCGUAGUUGGAUCUCCUAGAUCCAAAUCGUGGGCGGGUCGCCAGUUGUACGCGCGUCUUCGCGGUCUCUCGAGAGGUGCUUACUCGGGCGGCACGAUGUUGCGUUAAUUGUCGAUUCAUCUCGGAGCAGUAAUGCCGAGAGGUGUUUUCGGCGUUUUCGUAUACUCGUGUGCAGUGUCGGGUUUGCGCUUAGCGUGUGGACGGUCGACGUAGUCUUCCGGUAUUGCCCGUCCGCGUUUGGUACAAUUAAAAUUUUGUCGGCUCGCUCGGAGUGCUCUUUACCGAGUGUUCCAGGGUGGCCGACACGUUCACUUUGAAAAAAUUAGAGUGCUCAAAGCGGGCUAUAAAGUUGCCUAAAUGUUGUUGCAUGGAAUGAAGGAACAGGACCUCGGUUCUGUUCUUUUUGUCGGUUUUAUUGAACCGAGGUAAUGAUUAAAAGGAACAGACGGUGGCAUUAGUAUUGCGACGCUAGAGGUGAAAUUCUUGGACCGUCGCACGACUAACUACUGCGAAAGCAUUUGCCGAGCAUGUUUUCAUUAAUCAAGAACGAAAGUUAGAGGAUCGAAGGCGAUCAGAUACCGCCCUAGUUCUAACCCUAAACUAUGCUAACUAGCGAUCCGCCGGAGUCAUUCCCACGACCCGGCGGGAAGCCCCAGGGAAACCAAAGUCUUUGAGUUCCGGGGGAAGUAUGGUUGCAAAGCUGAAACUUAAAGGAAUUGACGGAAGGGCACCACCAGGAGUGGAGCCUGCGGCUUAAUUUGACUCAACACGGGAAACCUCACCAGGCCCGGACAUCAGAAGGAUUGACAGAUUGAGAGCUCUUUCUCGAUUCGAUGGGUGGUGGUGCAUGGCCGUUCUUAGUUGGUGGAGUGAUCUGUCUGGUUGAUUCCGAUAACGAACGAGACUCUACCCUACUAACUAGUCGGCGGAUCGUAACCCUGUGCUGGGGGGAUCUGAGGUUCGCUUUUGCGGCCGGUGUGAGGUGAAAGCGAGUCUGGAUUUAUUCGGGCGCGUCGUAAUCUCGCAUCGCGCUAGCGGGUGUUACUGAGGUGACUCUUACUGGGGGCGUCCGUCGCAAUGUAUCUUCUUAGAGGGAUCAGCGGCGUCUAGCCGCACGAGAAAGAGCAAUAACAGGUCUGUGAUGCCCUUAGAUGUUCUGGGCCGCACGCGCGCUACAAUGUACGGAUCAGCGUGCCACCCCGCUCCGAAAGGAGUGGGUAACCCGUUGAAACCCGCACCCAAUUGGGAUUGGGGAUUGCAAAUGUUUCCCAUAAACGAGGAAUUCCCAGUAAUCGUGAAUCAUUAAUUCGCGCUGAUUACGUCCCUGCCCUUUGUACACACCGCCCGUCGCUACUACCGAUUGAAUGAUUCAGUGAGGUCAUCGGAUUGGCUCCUUCGGUUGAAACAUACCUUAGGUUGACGAAAAGACGUCCGAACUCGAUCAUUUAGAGGAAGUAAAAGUCGUAACAAGGUUUCCGUAGGUGAACCUGCG